ACAAAUCACUAGGGGUGCCCCCAAAAGGCUGAGAGAGUCCCUUUGAACCUGAUCAAGCUAAGGCUUGCGUAGGGAAUGUGAGCGCAGCAAUGA
RNAcentral lists this non-coding RNA (93 nucleotides) under Gammaproteobacteria bacterium. Its description in RNAcentral is "TPP sequence". It matches the Rfam family "TPP riboswitch aptamer (THI element)". Rfam says of the family: Vitamin B(1) in its active form thiamin pyrophosphate (TPP) is an essential coenzyme that is synthesised by coupling of pyrimidine and thiazole moieties in bacteria. The previously detected thiamin-regulatory element, thi box was extended, resulting in a new, highly conserved RNA secondary structure, the THI element, which is widely distributed in eubacteria and also occurs in some archaea. The record is from RNAcentral. Lineage: Bacteria; Pseudomonadati; Pseudomonadota; Gammaproteobacteria.